Molecule: ribosomal RNA, 119 nt
Filed under: Prunus persica (peach)
Lineage: Eukaryota; Viridiplantae; Streptophyta; Magnoliopsida; Rosales; Rosaceae
Source: RNAcentral
GGAUGCGAUCAUACCAACUCAUAAGCACUGGAUCCCAUCAGAACUUCGAAGUUAAGCGAGUUUGAGCGAGAGUAGUACUAGGAUGGGUGACCUCCUGGGAAGUCCUCGUGUUGCGUCCC